Molecule: ribosomal RNA, 372 nt
Filed under: uncultured organism
Description: bacterial SSU rRNA
Rfam family: Bacterial small subunit ribosomal RNA
Source: RNAcentral
CGUAGGGUGCGAGCGUUAAUCGGAAUUACUGGGCGUAAAGUGUGCGCAGGCGGCCGCGCAAGUCGAGUGUGAAAGCCCCGAGCUUAACUUGGGAACUGCGCUCGAAACUACGUGGCUGGAGUGUGGCAGAGGAAGGUGGAAUUCCAGGUGUAGCGGUGAAAUGCGUAGAGAUCUGGAGGAACACCAAUGGCGAAGGCAGCCUUCUGGGCCAACACUGACGCUCAUGCACGAAAGCGUGGGGAGCAAACAGGAUUAGAUACCCUGGUAGUCCACGCCCUAAACGAUGAUGACUAGUUGUUGGAGGAGUUAAAUCCUUUAGUAACGCAGCUAACGCGUGAAGUCAUCCGCCUGGGGAGUACGGUCGCAAGAUUA